GGAAUUGUGGCUUAGUGGUAGAGCACUUGCCUAGCAUGCACAAGGCCCUGGGUUCGAUCCCCAGUACCA
This 69-nucleotide transfer RNA is filed under the name Ictidomys tridecemlineatus (thirteen-lined ground squirrel). RNAcentral describes it as "Spermophilus tridecemlineatus (thirteen-lined ground squirrel) tRNA". It matches the Rfam family "tRNA". Rfam says of the family: Transfer RNA (tRNA) molecules are approximately 80 nucleotides in length. Their secondary structure includes four short double-helical elements and three loops (D, anti-codon, and T loops). The record is from Rfam by way of RNAcentral. Lineage: Eukaryota; Metazoa; Chordata; Mammalia; Rodentia; Sciuridae.